Molecule: small RNA, 1901 nt
Filed under: Pongo abelii (Sumatran orangutan)
Lineage: Eukaryota; Metazoa; Chordata; Mammalia; Primates; Hominidae
Description: retained intron
Source: RNAcentral
UUCAGAACUUGGGCCCUGGUAAAAUAGGGCUGGCCUUAUCCCAAAGGCCUGCACUCCCAGUCUUGAAUGAGGGAGCCCCACUGUGGGAGCACCGUGUUCCCUGGGGACCUAAGAGAAUCCUCCCCUGCUGGGGUGGCAGAGACAGGCACAAGGAUAGACUGUCUCACUGUGCGCUGCUCCCCCGCAGAUUCCAGGACCUGCUCCUCUGUUUUCUUCAGGGUCUUGCUUUGUUCUUCUCUAUCACUUCUUCCCACCACUGGGGGUGUCCCAGCCUCCUUUCUCCUCUUCUCUAUUCUUUUCUUUUUUCUCCUCUUCUCUGUGGCAGGUGCCUCAGGACAGAAGCCACAGUCUGCACAGAGCAGGCUGUGCUCUCCUGAGGAACCCCCCAACACCGUUUGGUCUCUUCCAUCACUGCUCUGAGGACAAAUCUCUUUGCACACUUUGCAUAUUUUACUAACAGAGAAUGCUGACUGCUGAUAUGAUAUUAUUCUGGUGUGAAAGUGGGUGUCUUUAAUUAAUUUUAAUGACGGAUUCUCAAAGGUACAUCAGCAAAACAGUCUGAUGAAAAUGGGGAGGCUGCCUAUGAUCUGCCAGCUGAGGACUGGAUAGUUGCAAACAAAGAUCUGAUCGACAAGACGAAGUUCACCAUCACAGGUCUGCCAACAGAUGCAAAGAUCUUUGUGCGUGUGAAGGCUGUUAAUGCAGCUGGUGCCAGUGAGCCCAAGUACUAUUCUCAGCCCAUUCUCGUGAAGGAAAUCAUAGAACCUCCAAAGAUUCGCAUCCCAAGACACCUGAAGCAAACCUAUAUCCGCAGAGUUGGAGAAGCUGUCAAUCUGGUUAUACCUUUCCAGGGAAAACCAAGACCAGAAUUAACGUGGAAGAAGGAUGGUGUAGAAAUUGAUAAGAAUCAAAUAAACAUUCGCAACUCUGAGACUGAUACAAUCAUAUUUAUUAGAAAAGCAGAGAGGAGUCACUCUGGGAAAUAUGAUCUGCAAGUCAAAGUGGACAAAUUUGUGGAGACUGCAUCAAUUGACAUCCAGAUCAUUGACCGUCCAGGUCCACCCCAAACUGUGAAGAUUGAGGAUGUCUGGGGAGAAAAUGUCGCUCUCACAUGGACUCCACCAAAGGAUGAUGGAAAUGCUGCUAUCACAGGCUAUACCAUCCAGAAGGCUGACAAGAAGAGCAUGGAAUGGUUUACUGUCAUUGAGCAUUAUCACCGAACCAGUGCCACCAUUACUGAAUUGGUCAUAGGGAAUGAAUAUUACUUCCGGGUCUUUUCUGAAAACAUGUGCGGCCUCAGCGAGGAUGCCACCAUGACUAAAGAGAGUGCAGUGAUUGCCAAGGAUGGUAAAAUCUACAAAAAUCCAGUGUAUGAAGACUUUGAUUUCUCAGAGGCACCCAUGUUUACUCAGCCUUUGGUUAACACCUAUGCCAUAGCUGGUUACAAUGCCACCCUAAACUGCAGUGUGAGAGGAAAUCCUAAGCCUAAAAUAACCUGGAUGAAAAACAAAGUUGCUAUUGUGGAUGAUCCAAGAUACAGGAUGUUCAGCAACCAGGGAGUCUGUACCCUGGAAAUUCGCAAGCCCAGCCCCUAUGAUGGAGGCACUUACUGCUGCAAAGCAGUCAAUGACCUUGGAACAGUGGAGAUUGAAUGCAAACUGGAGGUGAAAGGUGGGCUCUCCUUCUGCAGGCUCCUCUUGCAAGGCGUACCUCCAAACAUAAUUGAUUCAUAUCUGCGAGACUUACACUCAAGCAAUCCUGAGGAAUACUGAGGGAGGGCCUGGCCACUGCCUCUCUGCACUCUGCUGCUUUGAAAUCUGGUUGAAAUGAGAAAAAGCAUUUUCUGUUUUCCCACCAGGCCCCCAAGUGUGGUCUUUUUCUUUCCUCCUAAUGUUGAAGAG